GAUUAACGCUAGCGGCAGGCCUAAUACAUGCAAGUUGUACGGGAUUAUUGGUAGCAAUACUGAUAUGAGAGUAGCGCACGGGUGCGUAACACGUAUGCAACCUACCUUUAACUGGGGAAUAGCUCACCGAAAGGUGAAUUAACACCGCAUAAAAUCACAGAAGGACAUCCUUUAAUGAUUAAAUCUCCGGAGGUUAAAGAUGGGCAUGCGUCCGAUUAGCUAGUUGGCGGGGUAANAGCCCACC
RNAcentral lists this ribosomal RNA (244 nucleotides) under uncultured bacterium. RNAcentral describes it as "partial 16S ribosomal RNA". It matches the Rfam family "Bacterial small subunit ribosomal RNA", at positions 28 to 269 of the family's 1533-position model. The record is from RNAcentral.